GACGAACGCUGGCGGCGUGCUUAACACAUGCAAGUCGAACGGAAUCCAUGGUGUAGCAAUACACCGGAAGAUUUAGUGGCGAACGGGUGAGGAUCACGUGAGAAACGUGCCCCAGACUCUGGGAUAACAAUUGGAAACGAUUGCUAAUACCGGAUGACGUCGGAGAAUCGCAUGAUUCACUGACGAAAGAUAUUUCGGUUUGGGAGCGUCUCGCGGCCUAUCAGCUUGUUGGUGGGGUAAUGGCCUACCAAGGCAACGACGGGUAGCUGGUCUGAGAGGAUGAUCAGCCACACUGGGACUGAGACACGGCCCAGACUCCUACGGGAGGCAGCAGUGGGGAAUCUUGCGCAAUGGGCGAAAGCCUGACGCAGCAACGCCGCGUGCGGGAUGAAGGCCUUCGGGCUGUAAACCGCUUUCAGCAGGAACGAAAAUGACGGUACCUGCAGAAGAAGGAGCGGCCAACUACGUGCCAGCAGCCGCGGUGACACGUAGGCUCCAAGCGUUGUCCGGAUUUAUUGGGCGUAAAGAGCUCGUAGGCGGUUGAGUAAGUCGGGUGUGAAAACUCUGGGCUUAACCCGGAGACGCCAUCCGAUACUGCUCUGACUAGAGUUCAGGAGGGGAGUGGGGAAUUCCUAGUGUAGCGGUGAAAUGCGCAGAUAUUAGGAGGAACACCGGUGGCGAAGGCGCCACUCUGGACUGAAACUGACGCUGAGGAGCGAAAGCAUGGGUAGCAAACAGGAUUAGAUACCCUGGUAGUCCAUGCCGUAAACGGUGGGCACUAGGUGUGGGUUCCAACUAACGGGAUCCGCGCCGUCGCUAACGCAUUAAGUGCCCCGCCUGGGGAGUACGGUCGCAAGACUAAAACUCAAAGGAAUU
This 876-nucleotide ribosomal RNA is filed under the name uncultured Ilumatobacter sp. RNAcentral's name for it is "bacterial SSU rRNA". It matches the Rfam family "Bacterial small subunit ribosomal RNA", at positions 28 to 911 of the family's 1533-position model. Lineage: Bacteria; Bacillati; Actinomycetota; Acidimicrobiia; Acidimicrobiales; Ilumatobacteraceae. The record is from RNAcentral.